RNAcentral lists this ribosomal RNA (459 nucleotides) under uncultured Treponema sp. Its description in RNAcentral is "partial 16S ribosomal RNA". It matches the Rfam family "Bacterial small subunit ribosomal RNA", at positions 341 to 792 of the family's 1533-position model. Lineage: Bacteria; Pseudomonadati; Spirochaetota; Spirochaetia; Treponematales; Treponemataceae. The record is from RNAcentral.
ACGGAAGGCAGCAGCUAGGAAUAUUCCGCAAUGGACGAAAGUCUGACGGAGCGACGCCGCGUGGAUGAUGAAGGUCUUAAGAUUGUAAAGUACUUUUAUGCAUGAGGAAUAAAGCGGGUAGGGAAUGACCUGCAGGUGACUGUAGUGCAUGAAUAAGCACCGGCUAAUUACGUGCCAGCAGCCGCGGUAACACGUAAGUUGCGAGCGUUGUUCGGAAUUAUUGGGCGUAAAGGGCAUGUAGGCGGUUAUGCAAGUCUGGUGUGAAAGGCAGGAGCUCAACUCCUGAACUGCGCCGGAAACUGUAAAACUAGAGUGACUGAGGAGCAAGCAGAAUUCCAGGUGUAGGGGUGAAAUCUGUAGAUAUCUGGAAGAAUACCGAUGGCGAAGGCGGGUUGCUAGCAGAUGACUGACGCUGAGGUGCGAAGGUGCGGGGAGCAAACAGGAUUAGAUACCCUGGUA